AGCUUUGUGCAGUACCAGUAUUGUAGCCAAUGAGGUUUAUCCGAGGCAUGAUUAUUGCUAAUUGAAAAUCUCCAUUACU
This 79-nucleotide small nuclear RNA is filed under the name Tupaia belangeri chinensis (Chinese tree shrew). RNAcentral describes it as "Tupaia chinensis (Chinese tree shrew) U4 spliceosomal RNA". It matches the Rfam family "U4 spliceosomal RNA", at positions 1 to 79 of the family's 138-position model. Rfam says of the family: U4 small nuclear RNA (U4 snRNA) is a component of the major U2-dependent spliceosome. The structure of U4 snRNA from yeast and human has been reported. Lineage: Eukaryota; Metazoa; Chordata; Mammalia; Scandentia; Tupaiidae. The record is from Rfam by way of RNAcentral.